GGAUUGGUGCCUUCGGGAACUCUGAGACAGGUGCUGCAUGGCUGUCGUCAGCUCGUGUUGUGAAAUGUUGGGUUAAGUCCCGCAACGAGCGCAACCCUUAUCCUUUGUUGCCAGCGGUUAGGCCGGGAACUCAAAGGAGACUGCCAGUGAUAAACUGGAGGAAGGUGGGGAUGACGUCAAGUCAUCAUGGCCCUUACGAGUAGGGCUACACACGUGCUACAAUGGCGCAUACAAAGAGAAGCGACCUCGCGAGAGCAAGCGGACCUCAUAAAGUGCGUCGUAGUCCGGAUUGGAGUCUGCAACUCGACUCCAUGAAGUCGGAAUCGCUAGUAAUCGUGGAUCAGAAUGCCACGGUGAAUACGUUCCCGGGCCUUGUACACACCGCCCGUCACACCAUGGGAGUGGGUUGCAAAAGAAGUAGGUAGCUUAACCUUCGGGAGGGCGCUUACCACUUUGUGAUUCAUGACUGGGGUGAAGUCGUAACAAGGUAAGCGUAGUGCU
This 501-nucleotide ribosomal RNA is filed under the name uncultured bacterium. Its description in RNAcentral is "bacterial SSU rRNA". It matches the Rfam family "Bacterial small subunit ribosomal RNA", at positions 1008 to 1509 of the family's 1533-position model. The record is from RNAcentral.